GACUAAGCCACCCAGGCGCCCCUGUCUGAUCCCACUUCUAAAUAAACAUUAAUAAAAUAAUUAAAUAUAAAUAAAGCUGCACCCAUGUGGAAAUAGAAGAUAAUCUGUAGAUUCUGGAAGGAGUUGGUCAUAGAGACAUUACAGCUGAAGACAAUACUUCCAUCCAUGGAUGAAUUGUUGGAUCACCUGCUGUGACAGAGACUAUGCAGUAGCAUUUAAAACUCGGGACAGGACAAGGGUGCCUGGGUGACUUAGUCAGUUAAGCACCCGACUCCAGCUCAGGUCAUGA
Molecule: long non-coding RNA, 289 nt
Organism: Hyaena hyaena (striped hyena)
Lineage: Eukaryota; Metazoa; Chordata; Mammalia; Carnivora; Hyaenidae
Exons: 3
Source: RefSeq, a predicted model, not a curated record